UAUUGCGCAUGGGCGAAAGCCUGNCGCAGCGACGCCGCGUGGGGGAUGAAGGUCUUCGGAUUGUAAACCCCUUUCGGGAGGGAAGAUGGAAUGGGGUAACCCAUUCGGACGGUACCUCCAGAAGCAGCCACGGCUAACUUCGUGCCAGCAGCCGCGGUAAUACGAAGGUGGCAAGCGUUGUUCGGAUUUACUUGGGCGUACAGGGAGCGUAGGCNGGUUCGGUAAGCCCUUUGUGAAAUCUCCAGGCUUAACCUGGAACAGUCGGAGGGGACUGCCGGGCUAGAGGACGGGAGAGGAGCGCGGAAUUCCCGGUGUAGCGGUGAAAUGCGUAGAGAUCGGGAGGAAGGCCGGUGGCGAAGGCGGCGCUCUGGAACGUUUCUGACGCUGAGGCUCGAAAGCGUGGGGAGCAAACAGGAUUAGAUACCCUGGUAGUCCACGCCUUAAACUAUGAAUACUAAGUGUCGGCGGGUUACCGCCGGUGCCGCAGCUAACGCAUUAAGUAUUCCGCCUGGGAAGUACGGCCGCAAGGUUGAAACUCAAAGAAAUUGACGA
Molecule: ribosomal RNA, 552 nt
Filed under: uncultured bacterium
Lineage: Bacteria
Description: bacterial SSU rRNA
Rfam family: Bacterial small subunit ribosomal RNA
Source: RNAcentral